Long non-coding RNA from Heterocephalus glaber (naked mole-rat), 1101 nucleotides. RefSeq lists it as uncharacterized. Lineage: Eukaryota; Metazoa; Chordata; Mammalia; Rodentia; Bathyergidae. The record is from RefSeq and is a predicted model, not a curated record.
UAGGCAACCAGGGAAGGCCAAUUAUCUCAAAGAGGGAUACCAAUGCUUAUAAGAUCAAGACUCCUAAAUGGUGCUUUUAUAAAAUAAAAAAAAGUUGUCUAAAUUUUAAAGCAAACUAGCCUCUCUUUCUUCAAAGUCCUAUUUUGUGACAAUAUUUUUUGUUGAUAAUUAUUCCCAGUCACAGAUGAAACAAAAUUUAAGAUUCUUAAAUUGAAUACUUCAGAGACGUUAUCUCAAGUAAAAAAAAAAGUUCUAUCAUUGCACUUCAUCAAAUGAAAUAAAUACACAAAUAAUUUCUUUAAAUUUUUAUGGAACUAGCUCUCUAGGCUUGGGCCUAAGUCCUUUACUCAUGCCUAAAGCACCGAAAAAGUCAGACUCUUCAGUGAAUUUGGGACCUGCUACAGUCCCUCCCUCUGGAAAUAGUGAAGAAAACUGAACUCAGCCGGUGUGCCAAGUAUAACUGGUCCUUCUGUGGCAAGAUAAAUUUCUCUGUUAGCCACGAAGAGGAAGGCUAAGAUUGGUGGCUUGGAGACCAGAAGCAGAAACUGAGGCUCAGGUCAAGUAACUUGUUGAAGUCACCAUUGUACUAAAUGACAGAAUUGGAAAUUGACACCCUGUCUAACUGCAAUCUUCCUAUUAUAUUACUAUCCACACUAUACAACACUACCUUCAAAAAUAAAGAUGAGGAAAAUGAAGUGAGGAAAGGUGAAAUAUCUUGGUGAAGGUUAUAAGCUAGUAAGUGGCAGAACUGAGAUUCACACAGAGGUUUCAAGUAAGAUGAAGAUUCCAAAAGAAUUAAAUCUGUGACCACAAGAGAAUAAGAAAGAAAACAAUUAUCUGGGAAAGAUAUCCUAUCUUUAUGGGAGAGGAAAAUGUCUUUAACAAAAUGAAUUGUGCCCUACAAAAAUGACUACUCAUUUGAGGUUUAUUUCCAAUCUAUUCAUGAGAUCCCAAUGUAACACUGCCUAAGAUAGAGCCACAGAAAUCAUUCUGUUCUUGGUUUUAAUUUUUAACUUUGUUGUUGACCUGUUAUGUGACACAAGGGAAAUCUCUAUUUCUUCUUUUUCAACUACAUAAUAAAGAUACUAAUAAGAAAUUGAA